AUAAGCUUUUGAGGGUGUACGAUGAAUGCCUAGGGACAAGUUGCCGAUGAAGGACGCGUAAGCGGCGAAACGCCCAGGGGAGCUGCACAAAAGUGUUGAUCCUGGGGUGUCCGAAUGGGGAAACCCCAUCAGAGUCAUGUCUGAUGACCCACAGAUGAAUACAUAGUCUGUGUGGAGGGAACCGGGUGAACUGAAACAUCUAAUUAACCCGAGGAAAAGAAAUCGAAUGAGAUUCCGUAAGUAGCGGCGAGCGAAAGCGGAACAGCCCAAACCGACAGGCUUGCCUGUCGGGGUUGUAGGGCCACCACUAAGUCCCUUUUAGAGUGCGGUGACUUGUCACCGCUUUAAACGCUUGGAGUUCGCUCCGGAGUAGGAAAGCGGCAACAAGUUGCCGCACUCUAAAGGGGAUUUAGGAACGAAGAUCGAAAUGGAUUAGCGAAAGAGAAUUGGAACGUUCUGCCGUAGAGGGUGACAGCCCCGUACGCAAAAAUCCUAUUGAAUUCAGGUGGUACCUGAGUAGCGCGCAACACGAGGAACUGCGCGUGAACCCGCCCAGACCACUGGGUAAGGCUAAACACGACUUGUCACCGAUAGUGAAACCAGUACCGUGAGGGAAAGGUGAAAAGCACCCCGGUUAGGGGAGUGAAAUAGUUCCUGAAAUCGUACGACCCGCAAACAGUCAGAGCACCAUGUGCGGAGCAAUCCGUUCAAGUGUGAUGGCGUACCUUUUGCAGAAUGAGCCUGCGAGUUACUAGUCCCGGCAAGGUUAAGCGUUUAAGACGCGGAGCCGGAGGGAAACCGAGUCCGAAUAGGGCGUCAAGUCGGUAUUAGUAGACCCGAAACUGCGUGAUCUAGCCAUGGCCAGGCUGAAGUGUCGGUAACACGACAUGGAGGGCCGAACUCAUAGACGUUGAAAAGUCUCGGGAUGAGCUGUGGUUGGUCCGGUGAAAUGCCAAUCGAACGCAGAGAUAGCUGGUUCUCCCCGAAAUGCAUUUGGGUGCAGCGUCACGUGUUUACAAUAGGGGGUAGAGCACUAAAUGGGCUAGGGGGCCUACCAGCUUACCGAACCCAAUUAAACUCCGAAUACCUAUUGUCUAAGCGUGGCAGUGAGACGGCGAAGGCUAAGCUCCGUCGUCAAAAGGAAAAUAGUCCAGAUCGACAGCUAAGGGCCCUAAACGUGUGCUAAGUGUGAAACGAUGUGAGAUCGCGUAAACAGCCAGGAGGUUGGCUUGGAAGCAGCCACCCUUUAAAAAGUGCGUAACAGCUUACUGGCCGAAUGUGAUCUUGCGCGGACAAUGUAAGGGGGCUAAAGCACACUCCCGAAGCUUCGGGAUCAUCGUAAGAUGAUCGGUAGGGGAGCGUCGUGCGCAGCAGUGAAGCUAUAGCGGAAGCAAUGGUGGAGCGCGUACGAGCGAGAAUGCAGGCAUGAGUAGCGAUAACACAGGUGAGAAUCCUGUGCGCCGAAAACCUAAGGAUUCUCCGGCCAUGUUCGUCAGCCGGAGGUUAGGCGGCACCUAAGGCGAGGCCAGAAGGCGUAGCCGAUGGACAACGGGUCGAAAUUCCCGUCCUUGUUAUGACAGCAAUGGAAGGACGCUUCUCGACGUUCCAUCCCGCACCGUUGGUAGUUGCGGGCUACUGGAAGGCUGGGCCAGAUGAAAGUCUGGCAUAAAGGCUAACCAGGGGCAAGGGAUCCCUUCGGGGUGAACGAACUGGGACAGAGGGGGGCCGAGAAAAUCUCCUCAGCAUAUGUCAUAGCGAGCCGUACUGCAAACCGACACAGGUAGGUGAGUCGAGGAGACUAAGGCGUUCGAGAGAACUCUCGUUAAGGAACUAGGCAAACGAGCCCCGUAAGUUAGCAAUAAGGGGCGCCCUCAGCAAUGAGGGCCGCAGCGAAGCAUCCCAGGCGACUGUUUACCAAAAACACAGGUCUCUGCUAAGACGAAAGUCGAAGUAUAGGGGCUGACGCCUGCCCAAUGCCAGUAGGUUAACAGGAGAUGUUAUCCCUUCGGGGAGAAGCAUUGAAUCGAAGCCCUGGUGAAUGGCGGCCGUAACUAUAACGGUCCUAAGGUAGCGAAAUUCCUUGUCGGCUAAAUACCGACCCGCAUGAAAGGCGUAACGACUUGGGAACUGUCUCAACGAGAAGCUCGGUGAAAAUGUAGCACCCGUGAAGAUGCGGGUUAAACGUAGUAGGACGGAAAGACCCCGUGGAGCUUUACUACACCUUAAGAUUGUGAACUGGGUGUAGAUGUAGAGCGUAGGUGGGAGCUUCGGCACCAAUGGAACACCACCCUUCUGCAUCUGGUUUACUAACCCUUGCCGUAAUCCGGUAAGGAGACAAUCUUAGGCGGGUAGUUUGACUGGGGCGGUCGCCUCCUAAAAGGUAACGGAGGCGCCUAAAGUUGCACUCAGGCUGGUUGGAAAUCAGCCGUUGAGCGUAUAGGUAUAUAGUGCGAUUGACUGUGAGACAAACAAGUCGAGCAGGGACGAAAGUCGAGCUAAGUGACCCUCUAGUGGUGCGUGGGCAUGCUAGGGUUCAUCGGAUAAAAGCUACCCCGGGGAUAACAGGCUGAUCUUGCCCGAGCGCUCACAGCGACGGCAUGGUUUGGCACCUCGAUGUCGGCUCGUCGUAUCCUGGGGCUGAACAAGGUCCCAAGGGUUCCGGAGUUCACGGAUUAAAACGGCACGCGAGCUGGGUUCAGAACGUCGUGAGACAGUUCGGUCCCUAUCCACUACGUUCGUAGGAAAUUUGAGGGGCGUCGCUCUUAGUACGAGAGGACCGGAGUGAACUGACCUCUGGUGUACCUGUUGUUCCGCCAGGAGCAUAUGCAGGGUAGCCACGUCGGGCAGGGAUAAGCGCUGAAAGCAUCUAAGCGCCAAGCCCACCCCAAGAUUAGAUUUCCCAUCGAAAGAGUAAGGCCCCCGGAAGACUACCGGGUUGAUAGGUCGCAAGUGUAAGUGCAGUAAUGUAUUCAGCUAAGCGAUACUAAUUGGCCGAGGGCUUAUAUUG
RNAcentral lists this ribosomal RNA (3007 nucleotides) under sediment metagenome. Its description in RNAcentral is "bacterial LSU rRNA". It matches the Rfam family "Bacterial large subunit ribosomal RNA". The record is from RNAcentral.